AGAAAUCAACACUCAAAUUCGGACACUUGUGAGGAAGGACAUUGUAGCAAUAGACAUCUUUUAGUAAACUGAUUGGUUUUUGUGCUGUUCCUUAGAGCCUUAAAUGUCAGCUAUCAUGCGGCCGUUAGUUUGCACCACUGGCAUAACAGUUGCUACAGAUGGCACAAUUUAUUUGUAUGGAAAACUGCAAGAAACCCCAAAUACAAUCCCAGAAGACCAAGAUAACUGUGAUCAUGUUGAUCCGGCUCCCAAAUGUGACACGGAGACUGCCCAGGACCAUGCCUCAGAGCGUUCCCUGGUGCCUGUCCGCGACUGUGCCGUGAAGCUUGCCCCGGAGACUUUGCAGGAGCCUAUCCUGGAGCUCAUCCCAGACUAUGGCAUAGAACCAACUCUGUUCUAUGCCUUGGACCCCACCCCCAAUUGCUACCCCAGCCAGACCUUGGAAUGCAUCCUCAGCUGGGCACCAGGCUGUGGUCUCUAUUGGUCCCAGGAAUACACACCCAGUGAAGUCCCUAACUGGGCUCCUGGUUUGGUCCCAGGCUGGUCCUCAGAAGGCAUCUCUGGCUGCGAUCCAGGUUGGGCUUCAGAGUGCAUCUAUGUCUAUGCCCCUCGUAUGGCCCCCAACUGUGCCUCACAGUGUAUCCCAGACUGGGCUCUGGAAUGGACUCCCGACUGGACCCCAGAAUGCAUUCCAGGUGCGGUCCCUAUCUGUGCCUCUGUUUUGACCCAAGGCUGGGCCCCUGAUGAUGUUCCUGACAGUGUUCCCAGUGUGGCCACCAUCUUUGCCCCUGGUUUUGCUCCUGACUGGGCCCCAGAAUUUGACUCCUAUUGGUCCAUAGAGCAGCUCCCAAGUGUGGUCCCUGGUGUGGCUGCAGACUGGCCCCCAGAGUACAGCUUUGACUGCUCCCCCGGUGUGGCCUCUGACUGUGCCCUUGGUUACAUUCCAAACUGGUCCUUGGAGUGUGCCCCUGCUUUAGCCCCAAGUUUUGCCUUGGACUGCACCCCUGUAUGUGUCCCUGAUUUAGCCCCUGGCUGCCUUCUACAAUUUGUACCAAGCUGGUCCCCAGAAUGCAUUCCUGACUGGGCUCUAGAGUGUGCCCCCAACUGUUUGCCCAUCCUGACCCAUGACUGGGCCCCAGAAUGUGUACCAGACGUAGUUCCUAAGUAUGUCCCUGGUGUGACUCCAGGCUGGGUCCAGGAACACAUCCAUGACUGUGAGCCCAGUGUGACCCCUAACUGUGGCCAUGGUAUAAUCCCAAACUGGGCUUCAGACAGCAUGCCCUGUUGGGGCCCUGACUGCACACCACUGACUGUGUGGCCUCAGAGUGUUCCCCUGUUUCUUUAGUUUGUAGAGUGUGCCCCAGACUUGGCCCCCA
Molecule: long non-coding RNA, 1376 nt
Filed under: Scleropages formosus (Asian bonytongue)
Lineage: Eukaryota; Metazoa; Chordata; Actinopteri; Osteoglossiformes; Osteoglossidae
Description: lncRNA (ENSSFOG00015032008.1)
Source: RNAcentral